GGCGCGGGAGGAUCUGGGGAUGAGCUGGCUACAGCCUCUGGAGAGGCCUCUGGCGAAGGGACGUCUUCGCCCUCGGGCGGUUCUCCGCCGAAGUCGUCGCCGCGCAAGUCCCGGGCGGCCAAUGCAGUGGAAAAGGCCAACAACUGGUCGAGGGCCGAGAUCGAGCAGCUUCCGGUCCCGCAGCUGUGCCGAUGGUUGGA
Molecule: non-coding RNA, 200 nt
Filed under: Scrippsiella hangoei
Lineage: Eukaryota; Dinophyceae; Peridiniales; Peridiniaceae
Source: RNAcentral